AUUGAACGCUGGCGGCAUGCCUUACACAUGCAAGUCGAACGGCAGCACGGGAGCAAUCCUGGUGGCGAGUGGCGAACGGGUGAGUAAUAUAUCGGAACGUGCCCAGUCGUGGGGAUAACGUAGCGAAAGCUACGCUAAUACCGCAUACGAUCUAUGGAUGAAAGCGGGGGAUCGCAAGACCUCGCGCGAUUGGAGCGGCCGAUAUCAGAUUAGGUAGUUGGUGAGAUAAAGGCUCACCAAGCCGACGAUCUGUAGCUGGUCUGAGAGGACGACCAGCCACACUGGGACUGAGACACGGCCCAGACUCCUACGGGAGGCAGCAGUGGGGAAUUUUGGACAAUGGGCGCAAGCCUGAUCCAGCAAUGCCGCGUGCAGGAUGAAGGCCUC
Molecule: ribosomal RNA, 387 nt
Filed under: uncultured bacterium
Lineage: Bacteria
Description: bacterial SSU rRNA
Rfam family: Bacterial small subunit ribosomal RNA
Source: RNAcentral